RNAcentral lists this ribosomal RNA (152 nucleotides) under Bacillus thuringiensis serovar darmstadiensis. RNAcentral describes it as "partial 16S ribosomal RNA". It matches the Rfam family "Bacterial small subunit ribosomal RNA", at positions 1 to 181 of the family's 1533-position model. The record is from RNAcentral. Lineage: Bacteria; Bacillati; Bacillota; Bacilli; Caryophanales; Bacillaceae.
CUUUAUUGGAGAGUUUGAUCCUGGCUCAGGAUGAACGCUGGCGGCGUGCCUAAUACAUGCAAGUCGAGCGAAUGGAUUGAGAGCUUGCUGGGUAACCUGCCCAUAAGACUGGGAUAACUCCGGGAAACCGGGGCUAAUACCGGAUAACAUUU